Molecule: transfer RNA, 73 nt
Filed under: Stegodyphus mimosarum
Lineage: Eukaryota; Metazoa; Arthropoda; Arachnida; Araneae; Eresidae
Rfam family: tRNA
About the family: Transfer RNA (tRNA) molecules are approximately 80 nucleotides in length. Their secondary structure includes four short double-helical elements and three loops (D, anti-codon, and T loops). Further hydrogen bonds mediate the characteristic L-shaped molecular structure. tRNAs have two regions of fundamental functional importance: the anti-codon, which is responsible for specific mRNA codon recognition, and the 3' end, to which the tRNAs corresponding amino acid is attached (by aminoacyl-tRNA synthetases). tRNAs cope with the degeneracy of the genetic code in two manners: having more than one tRNA (with a specific anti-codon) for a particular amino acid; and 'wobble' base-pairing, i.e. permitting non-standard base-pairing at the 3rd anti-codon position.
Source: Rfam by way of RNAcentral
GCUUUCGUGGUGUAGUGGUCAGCACGAGCGGCGUGUAAUCGAGAGGUCCGGGGUUCGAGUUCCAGCGAGGGCA